AUUGAACGCUGGCGGCAGGCCUAACACAUGCAAGUCAAGCGGAUGAAGGGAGCUUGCUCCUGGAUUCAGCGGCGGACGGGUGAGUAAUGCCUAGGAAUCUGCCUGGUAGUGGGGGAUAACGUCCGGAAACGGGCGCUAAUACCGCAUACGUCCUGAGGGAGAAAGUGGGGGGUCUUCGGACCUCACGCUAUCAGAUGAGCCUAGGUCGGAUUAGCUAGUUGGUGGGGUAAAGGCCUACCAAGGCGACGAUCCGUAACUGGUCUGAGAGGAUGAUCAGUCACACUGGAACUGAGACACGGUCCAGACUCCUACGGGAGGCAGCAGUGGGGAAUAUUGGACAAUGGGCGAAAGCCUGAUCCAGCCAUGCCGCGUGUGUGAAGAAGGUCUUCGGAUUGUAAAGCACUUUAAGUUGGGAGGAAGGGCAGUAAGUUAAUACCUUGCUGUUUUGACGUUACCAACAGAAUAAGCACCGGCUAACUUCGUG
RNAcentral lists this ribosomal RNA (484 nucleotides) under uncultured bacterium. Its description in RNAcentral is "partial 16S ribosomal RNA". It matches the Rfam family "Bacterial small subunit ribosomal RNA", at positions 30 to 507 of the family's 1533-position model. The record is from RNAcentral.